CGUGUAGGCGGCCAGGUAGGUCCGCUGUGAAAACUCGAGGCUCAACCUCGAGACGUCGGCGGAAACCCUCUGGCUAGAGUCCGGAAGAGGAGAAUGGAAUUCCUGGUGUAGCGGUGAAAUGCGCAGAUAUCAGGAAGAACACCCGUGGCGAAGGCGGUUCUCUGGGACGGUACUGACGCUGAGACGCGAAAGCGUGGGGAGCGAACA
RNAcentral lists this ribosomal RNA (207 nucleotides) under uncultured bacterium. RNAcentral describes it as "partial 16S ribosomal RNA". It matches the Rfam family "Bacterial small subunit ribosomal RNA", at positions 568 to 774 of the family's 1533-position model. The record is from RNAcentral.